RNAcentral lists this long non-coding RNA (400 nucleotides) under Vigna radiata. RNAcentral's name for it is "long non-coding RNA (VRAD_LNC003466)". Lineage: Eukaryota; Viridiplantae; Streptophyta; Magnoliopsida; Fabales; Fabaceae. The record is from RNAcentral.
UCACUCAGAUCCCUCUUGUUGCAAGAUCACUUAGUACUCUCCUAGGGUGAUGAAUACUACUUUCCNUGUUCUCUAAUGUAAAAACACUCAGAUCNCUCUUGUUGCGNCUAUCUAAGCUUGACACACCUCACCCAAUCCCUUGGCAUAAGCAUGUAUCAAAACUUGCAUUAAGAACCAGAACAGUGGGGUCCAAAUACACAAUCACGUCGUCUGUCACUCGGGUGACUAGUAAUAUCUGGGUUAAUUUAGCUAGUUCGGCUGCUGAAACCCCAUCCCUGGGCAUCCCAACAACUAGAUCAUGCUCUAAGGCGUACCCCGAAACAAGCUUUAAGCACAAACCAAACCAGUGGAAAGUAUAAACAUCUGAAGGCAAACUACAUAAAAGAAACACAAACAAAAC